This 657-nucleotide ribosomal RNA is filed under the name uncultured bacterium. Its description in RNAcentral is "bacterial SSU rRNA". It matches the Rfam family "Bacterial small subunit ribosomal RNA", at positions 224 to 882 of the family's 1533-position model. The record is from RNAcentral.
GAUGGGGAUGCGUCUGAUUAGCUUGUUGGCGGGGUAACGGCCCACCAAGGCGACGAUCAGUAGGGGUUCUGAGAGGAAGGUCCCCCACAUUGGAACUGAGACACGGUCCAAACUCCUACGGGAGGCAGCAGUGAGGAAUAUUGGUCAAUGGGCGAGAGCCUGAACCAGCCAAGUAGCGUGCAGGAAGACGGCCCUAUGGGUUGUAAACUGCUUUUAUGCGGGGAUAAAGUGAGCCACGUGUGGCUUAUUGCAGGUACCGCAUGAAUAAGGACCGGCUAAUUCCGUGCCAGCAGCCGCGGUAAUACGGAAGGUCCGGGCGUUAUCCGGAUUUAUUGGGUUUAAAGGGAGCGUAGGCCGUCUGAUAAGCGUGUUGUGAAAUGUCGGGGCUCAACCUGGGCAUUGCAGCGCGAACUGUGAGACUUGAGUGCGCGGGAAGUAGGCGGAAUUCGUCGUGUAGCGGUGAAAUGCUUAGAUAUGACGAAGAACUCCGAUUGCGAAGGCAGCCUGCUGUAGCGCAACUGACGCUGAAGCUCGAAAGCGUGGGUAUCGAACAGGAUUAGAUACCCUGGUAGUCCACGCGGUAAACGAUGGAUGCUCGCUGUUUGCGUCUGACGUAAGCGGCCAAGCGAAAGCGUUAAGCAUCCCACCUGGGGAGUA